Haliotis rubra (blacklip abalone) is the source of this 270-nucleotide long non-coding RNA. RefSeq lists it as uncharacterized. NCBI's taxonomy places the organism in Eukaryota, Metazoa, Mollusca, Gastropoda, Lepetellida, Haliotidae. The record is from RefSeq and is a predicted model, not a curated record. The transcript is spliced from 2 exons.
CUAUCUCUUGUAUGGUGUCAGCCUACAGGAAUGUUCCCAGAUACUUUAUCAGGUCAGAGCAGGAAACCGUGCAUUCAAAAUCGGACUCUGUACAUAGCAGGCGGGAAGUUCCAUCACACUGCUGGAUGUAGAAGACGGUACAUUUUACUCUUGUGACAAGACGACAGUUUUCUAAAAGGAGAUGCCAACACAGACGCAAGAAAAGCCCAGUGACAAAGAUGACUGAUUAUGUUCCUUAUGUAUUGAUGAAAUGAAGUAUUCUUUAAAACA